CGCCGCGUAAUUCCAGCUCCAAUAGCGUAUAUUAAAGUUGUUGCAGUUAAAAAGCUCGUAGUUGAAUUUCGGGAUUGACGUGAUGGUCGUGCCUUAAGGGGUAUGAACUGUUGCUGUUGAUUUCUCACCUUCUGGAGAAACUUGAUGUCCUUAAUUGGGUGUCUUGCGGAUCCAGGACCUUUACCUUGAAAAAAUUAGAGUGUUUAAAGCAGGCAUUUUUGCUCGAAUACAUUAGCAUGGAAUAAUAGAAUAGGACGGCAUGGUUCUAUUUUGUUGGUUUCUAGGAUCACCGUAAUGAUUAAUAGGGAUAGUUGUGGGCAUUAGUAUUCAAUUGUCAGAGGUGAAAUUCUUGGAUUUAUUGAAGACUAACUACUGCGAAAGCAUUUGCCAAGGAUGUUUUCAUUAAUCAAGAACGAAAGUUAGGGGAUCGAAGACGAUCAGAUACCGUCGUAGUCUUAACCAUAAACUAUGCCGACUAGGAAUCAGACGAUGUUAAUUUUUUAAUGACUCGUUUGGCACCUUACG
This 525-nucleotide unclassified non-coding RNA is filed under the name uncultured Glomeromycotina. RNAcentral describes it as "SSU rRNA". It matches the Rfam family "Eukaryotic small subunit ribosomal RNA", at positions 572 to 1092 of the family's 1831-position model. Lineage: Eukaryota; Fungi; Glomeromycota. The record is from RNAcentral.